CAGAGAAUCUUCACCGGAGUUCUUUUCAUUGGAUAAGCAGAUACACAACAGCUGAAGAAAGAUGUCUUGCGAACGGAACCAGUGCUAUGCAACCUGCCCUCCCAUGACCGUUACGAUCCAGCCCCCACCCUUUGUUCUUUCCAUCCCUGGUCCCUCAAUCUACUGCCCUGAUCAACCACUUUGCAUUGAGCAGUACAACCCAUGUGCACCAGCCUGCCAGGCAAUCAGUAGCGGUGGAUUUGGGACCAUCUCUGCAGGGGGAGUCUCCAGUUCCAAGAUCACCAGCAUUUAUUCUCAGAAGUCGAUGCAAAGAAGUCAAGGGGGCUGCCGUUCUUUCUACUGAUGCUGAGCCCGGAAGUCGCAAUCCACAGAAAAGCUGAGAGCUGAAAAUGAGAAAUCAAUAUCAAUUCUCGGAAUCUGUUCUUGAUGUGUCCACUUUUUCCGUUUUAGGCCAGUUUUUUUAAAAAUUAAAAAGCUUUCUUCCUUCAGCUAAUUUUUAGGAAGGACUUUUAUUUGUUAUUUAUUGAUCUUGUUGCUUAUCAUAUUUCUCCUAUGAGCCCUUCCAGCUGUUAAUGGAAACUUGCACAUCUCCCAUUGACCUCUAGUACAUCUUCAAUGAUUCUGGGGCAUGUCCUGAGACACAUAUAAUAAUAAUAAUAAUAACAUUCAUUUAUAUACCGCCCUUCAGGACAACUUAAUAAUAAUAAUAACAUCCCAUUUAUAUACCGCCCUUCAGGACAACUUAAUGCUCACUCAGAGCGGUUUACAAAGUAUGCCAUUAUUAUCCCCACAACAAAACACCCUGUGAGGUGGGUGGGGCUGAGAGAGCUCCAGAGAACUGUGACUAGCUCAAGGUCACCCAGCUGGCUUCAAGUGGAGGAGUGGGGAAUCAAACCCGGUUCUCCAGAUUAGAGUCCCGCACUCGUAACCAUUACACCAAACUGGCUCUCAAAUUCAGUUCAUGGAGGAAUGCUCUGUCCAGUCUUGCUGUGCCUCACUGAUUCCCCAUGUGAUCUGGGAGUAUGAUCUGAAGUGGUUAAGUCUUUAAGCAAGUUGUCCUUUGGUAAAGCAUUUGUGCCAUUAUCAUGGAAGAACCUUUGCUAAAUUUUUGAAGGAUCCCAAGUUUCAUUGGACAGAAUUUGAAAACCACUGUUGUAGAUUAUGGCAUGCAAAAACAGAUUAUGCAUUGUACUUACUUGAUAUUGUUCUUUGCUGAAACUGUGGAAUUGUGCAUCUCUUCAGCUGCAGAAUAAAAACCGACACUUUAUCAAAGCCUCA
Eublepharis macularius is the source of this 1278-nucleotide long non-coding RNA. RefSeq lists it as uncharacterized. The transcript has 2 exons. Lineage: Eukaryota; Metazoa; Chordata; Lepidosauria; Squamata; Eublepharidae. The record is from RefSeq and is a predicted model, not a curated record.